UAUAUAUGUGUGAUCAAUAAAGACUCGCUAUCAUUAUUGUACAAAAAAAAACACCCCUCUCAAACAUUCGCUUAUUCUCAUUCUCUUAUUUCUCUCUAUGGACAGAUAUGAUUUUUAAUAGCUCUCUAGUACAGCUGUUUUCUGUGUUAAUUCAUAACCACUUAAUACAGUGAUGAAUGUUAAUCUUAUGAGAUGUGUCCAUAAAAUAAAAUUUUAAAAAAAAAAAUUCAACUAAAUCUUUUUUGCAACACUGAGGAUCAGGUAUUGAUUAAAAUUAUGAUCUGUAAGUCAUUCAGAGCGGAUAUUUCUUAGGAAGUUUCUCUUUGUUCUCAAUACAGCAAAUCCUCCAUGGUUUUUCCUUUGCUUUCAGAGCCAUGAAUUUAAAUCCCGCACUGUGUGGAAAGCAGUAGCAAUCAAACCAGUAUCUAGAACCUCACUGACUCCUUCGUGUUGAUGUUUUGAGCUCUGCUUUUAUUUCUAAUACUCAUGACUCUUUUAUUGUAGCUUUCAUUACAACAUCUGUCCGUCUAUUUGUCUGAAUCUGCAUGAAGUGGAUUUUUGUGCUGCUUCAGGUUCAUCUCCCGGGUGUGUUUUUAGCUCGGAAAGCAUGGCGAGUGGAAGCAGGUGCUGUUGCUCUGAUUGUCUUCUACCUCUUUUCCAGCUGACAAACUACCGUAUGCUUCUAAUGCCCAAAUCUGUCGCUUUUAUAAAAACAUCGUCAUCCUCAGGUUAUUGGUUAUUUUCUGUAUUUGGUUUCAAUUUCGUUUUUUUUUUUUUUGUCGUUGUUGUGUUUUUUUUUUUAAUAUUCAUACACAGCAUUUUAGAUGUUGGGCUAAUGAAUGCGUAAUCAGGUUUUGGAGUUGAAAUGAAGAAAGGAGAGAAGUCGGGUUGGCGAGAACUAAACAAAUUAAAGAGGAAGAUGCAGUUAUUAAACUUUCUUGACCUGCUGACCUGCUGGAUUCAAUUAAGCAAACACACACACUGUCAUCUGCAAGUCAUUUAAAAUCCAUUACCUCUCCACAUUUGUGUGUGCACAGAACAAACACGUCCUUUCCCGACUAGUCCUUUUAUUCACUUACGGAUUCGCUUACUGAUUACAUUUGAUAUAUAUUUAUUUAUUUAGUUAAUUGCUUAUCAUUCACUCACUUGCUCACUCACGCCCUCUCUUCGCCACCCUCGUUCGAGCCUUCAUUCGUGUCGAUUGCAGCAAUUUGCCACACUGCUUCAUGCUAUUGAUUCUUCCAGAGUGUCUCCUACACUACUACAAGGCAAAGUCAGUAGGAUACUCAUCACCAAGGAGCACAGAGGAGGAUCAGUUACAGCCGGAAGACUGUUGACUUUUUGACCAGCCGUAUUUUCAUAAUUGCUGCUGCCAUCAAGCAGUUCCUGACUGCACAUCUGGUAAUAUUAUUACAUCCUCCCUUAGUCUUCUUAAACCUGAAAUACUAGAACUGCUCAUAUUCAUGGCUUUGUUUAGGCUUUGGUUCUGGGUGAUUAAAUUUUUAAAAUAGUCAAUCUAUAAGCAGGGCAAAAUCAAUUCAAGCCUUCUUUCAACCAAUGCAUUCAAACACCCUGACCUCGUGAAAUAUUUGAGGACAAUUCGAAGGUUUGCAUAUACAACCUACAGGUGCGUCUAAAAAAAAAAUUGAAUAUCGUGGAAAAGUUCGGGGGUUUUUUCCAUAAUUUGAUUCAACAAGUUGAAGUUUUCAUAUAUUCUACAUUCAUUACACAUGAAGUGAAAUAUUUCAAGCCUUUUUUGUUUUAAUCUCGAUGAUUAUGGCUUACAGCUCAUGGAAAUCAAAAAUCCAGUAUCUCAAAAUAAUAGAAUAAAGAAUUUAUAAUACAGAAAUGUCGACCUUCUGAAAAGUAUGUUAAUUUAUGCACUCAAUACUUGGUCGGGGCUUUAAUCCUUCUGCACGAAUUACUGCCUGAAUGCGGCGUGGCAUGGAGGCAAUAAGCCGGUGGUACUGCUGAGGUGUUAUGGCAGCCCAGGUUGUUGAGGAGUUAUGGAAGUCCAGGUUGCUGAGGCGUUAUGGAAGUCCAGGUUGCUGAGGUGUUAUGGAA
Molecule: long non-coding RNA, 2064 nt
Organism: Ictalurus punctatus (channel catfish)
Lineage: Eukaryota; Metazoa; Chordata; Actinopteri; Siluriformes; Ictaluridae
Source: Ensembl